CGAAAUGCGAUAAGUAAUGUGAAUUGCAGAAUUCAGUGAAUCAUCGAAUCUUUGAACGCACAUUGCGCCCGCCAGCACUCUGGCGGGCAUGCCUGUUCGAGCGUCAUUUCAACCCUCAGAACCCCUUGCGGGAUCUGGCGUUGGGGAUUGGCAUCCAGCCAGCCACGAAAUCUAGUGGCGGUCCCUCCGCGACCUCCCCUGUGCAGUAGCGAUACCUCGCAGCGGGACAGCGGUCUGACCACGCCGUAAAACCCCCAACUUCUCAAGGUUGACCUCGAAUCAGGUAGGAAUACCCGCUGAACUUAAGC
This 308-nucleotide unclassified non-coding RNA is filed under the name plant metagenome. RNAcentral's name for it is "partial contains 5.8S ribosomal RNA, internal transcribed spacer 2, and large subunit ribosomal RNA". The stretch from base 1 to 106 matches the Rfam family "5.8S ribosomal RNA", at positions 49 to 154 of the family's 154-position model. The record is from RNAcentral.